RNAcentral lists this transfer RNA (59 nucleotides) under Neotoma lepida (desert woodrat). The record is from Rfam by way of RNAcentral. Lineage: Eukaryota; Metazoa; Chordata; Mammalia; Rodentia; Cricetidae.
AUGGCUCAGUGGUAAAAGCACUGACUCUUCUUCCAGAGGACCUGGGUUCAAUUCCCAGU